This 74-nucleotide transfer RNA is filed under the name Eubacterium segne. RNAcentral describes it as "tRNA-Asp". It matches the Rfam family "tRNA". Rfam says of the family: Transfer RNA (tRNA) molecules are approximately 80 nucleotides in length. Their secondary structure includes four short double-helical elements and three loops (D, anti-codon, and T loops). Lineage: Bacteria; Bacillati; Bacillota; Clostridia; Eubacteriales; Eubacteriaceae. The record is from RNAcentral.
GACUCUAUAGAAGAAUUGGUUAAUUCGUCUGACUGUCUAUCAGAAGAUUAUGGGUUCGAGUCUCGUUAGAGUCA